Molecule: ribosomal RNA, 459 nt
Filed under: uncultured bacterium
Lineage: Bacteria
Description: partial 16S ribosomal RNA
Rfam family: Bacterial small subunit ribosomal RNA
Source: RNAcentral
CCUACGGGAGGCAGCAGUGAGGAAUAUUGGUCAAUGGCCGGAAGGCUGAACCAGCCAAGCCGCGUGAAGGACGAAGGUGCCAAGCAUUGUAAACUUCUUUUGUCAAGGGACAAAAUCAGGCUCGAGAGCCUGACCGAGGGUACUUGAAGAAAAAGCAUCGGCUAACUCCGUGCCAGCAGCCGCGGUAAUACGGAGGAUGCGAGCGUUAUCCGGAUUUAUUGGGUUUAAAGGGUGCGUAGGCGGACUGUUAAGUCAGCGGUAAAAGCCCGGGGCUCAACCCCGGCGAGCCGUUGAAACUGGCAGUCUUGAGAUGUCGAGAGGUAUGCGGAAUGCGCAGUGUAGCGGUGAAAUGCUUAGAUAGUGCGCAGAACUCCGAUUGCGAAGGCAGCAUACCGGCGGCGAUCUGACGCUGAGGCACGAAAGCGUGGGUAUCGAACAGGAUUAGAUACCCUUGUAGUC